GAGUUUGAUCGUGGCUCAGAUUGAACGCUGGCGGCAUGCCUUACACAUGCAAGUCGAACGGCAGCAUGAUCUAGCUUGCUAGAUUGAUGGCGAGUGGCGAACGGGUGAGUAAUACAUCGGAACGUGCCCUGUAGUGGGGGAUAACUAGUCGAAAGAUUAGCUAAUACCGCAUACGACCUGAGGGUGAAAGGUGGGGGACCGCAAGGCCUCAUGCUAUAGGAGCGGCCGAUGUCUGAUUAGCUAGUUGGUGGGGUAAAGGCCCACCAAGGCGACGAUCAGUAGCUGGUCUGAGAGGACGAUCAGCCACACUGGGACUGAGACACGGCCCAGACUCCUACGGGAGGCAGCAGUGGGGAAUUUUGGACAAUGGGCGAAAGCCUGAUCCAGCAAUGCCGCGUGUGUGAAGAAGGCCUCGG
RNAcentral lists this ribosomal RNA (416 nucleotides) under uncultured microorganism. Its description in RNAcentral is "bacterial SSU rRNA". It matches the Rfam family "Bacterial small subunit ribosomal RNA", at positions 9 to 420 of the family's 1533-position model. The record is from RNAcentral.